AAUAAAUGUUUAUUCGUAAUUUAUUUUAACCAAUUUCAUUGGCUAAUCUUUGAUAAAUAUUUUAUUAUUACGAAACAAUUGUAUUUUAUUAUGAACCAUUAAUUUUGGACCAGAAUGUUAUGGUACUAAUCAAGUUAAUAUAUUAUUGCUCGUCGACUUAUUACUUUAUGCUGAGUAACAUUAAAUGCUGCAUAUUUUCUAUUUUACUAGAAGAUUAAGUUAUUACAGUAACCUUAAAUCCUAAAAUAUCAAUCUGAGCUGGAUGAGAAUAAAAAUUAUCGUUUAAUUUCAUGGUCAAAUUUACUGUGAACUUUUAUCAAAUAAAUACAUACGUGUAUGGGUACUAAUUCUUGUAAUUUAUGUCGCUGUUCUACUAUUAAUAUAUUUUUAAACUAUAUUGAAUUAAUCGGAUCUUUGAAUUCAUAACUUCCAGCGUUAUUUAUAACGAAACGAUACUAUAUUUUUAUUCAAGUAAUCGAUAAUGAACCUUAUGACUUGAUCAGUGAAGGUAUAUUCUUUUAACAGAAAAUUGACUGACAAACAUAUAAGUGGUCUCAAAAACAUCAAAUGUGUUUUGUACACAUUGUCUAAAUAUUAGUCAUGUAAAAACUGUAUAAUUAUUGCAAGUAGGCUAAUUUAACCAAUUAAUACUACUUAAUCUAUAUUAUGUGGUUUGUUCUACGCUUUUAUUUGUUUGUUCUAUUCUUCAUUUAUUUGUUCAAUUCUUAUGUGUUCGUGCUUCGUUUCACAGAUAAUACACAUAAAAUAGUUCUACGUUUAUCGGAGUGUUUUGUUUGUAGUUGUUUCCACUUUAAGAGGUUUUUGGCAUUGUACCAUUACCAUACGACAGGGUAGCGCGCGAAUAAUUUUGAGCAAGCAUGUAUAUUUUAUUUAUUUAUAUAUGUGGUCUUAAUCAAAACAUACCUUGGAUGGGAUUCAUUGGUAUAUUUUGAAUUAUAUCAAGAGACAACCAUACCAUUGUUUAAUUCCUCUUUUAUAUUUAAGUACUAUUCUUGUUUACAAUUUGUACAGAUUUUAUUGAUCACGAAACUGAAAUUAGGCUUAAUUUAAAAAUAAAAUAAAAAUGAUUACUAACUAUAACUACACAAUAAUGCUAAUCAUAUAAAUACUUAAUAAUGUGAAAAUCAUUAUAAAUUUAAAGAAAUUGUUCAAUAUCAUUAAAAUUUUAAAUAUCUAAUUAAGAAAGAAGAAUAAUAUGCCCAUUUUAUUAACAGUUUAUUGAGUACAAAGUAACAUUUCAACAAACAUUUUGUAUGAGAAUCCUCCGCGACAUCAGUAUACAUUUCCAAAUUCCCUAGCAACAAUCAGCUAUUGUAUAACACUAAUACAUGUCUAAACACUGAAAGCAUUCCUGUUAAUUAGCCUUGCAUUACAAUUAAUUUCCAAAUUUCAUUUAAUUUCUGGCAUAACAAGAAUUUCAACAGGCAAUAUUGUCAUCUAAGAACAGAGGCGCAUAUAAUAUAUGAUGUAUAUAAAUAUUUUAAUUAAUAUAACUACAUUCAUAACAUUAGGUUGAAAAAUUAUUGUAACUACAUUCAAUGUUGAAUGGAAAUACUGUGGACCUGUUCAUAACCUGGCUAAUGACUGACUACACGUGACGUGAUUGACAACAUUAAUAAAAACACAGGUUGUAAGGGAAAAGCUCCUUGAAACGAAGACAAGUGGUAGGUAACUUUAUAACAGAACGACGCAUCAUGUUCAGAAUGGAGAUGGAUACCCUCGGCAUGCCCACUGAGGGUACAAAACUAUUCGAGUUCCCAGAUAUUCAAAACGUACUUAACUAAUUAAAAUCACCGGUCA
RNAcentral lists this long non-coding RNA (1821 nucleotides) under Bombyx mandarina (wild silkworm). Its description in RNAcentral is "uncharacterized LOC114249159". The record is from RNAcentral. Lineage: Eukaryota; Metazoa; Arthropoda; Insecta; Lepidoptera; Bombycidae.